Molecule: ribosomal RNA, 356 nt
Filed under: uncultured bacterium
Lineage: Bacteria
Description: bacterial SSU rRNA
Rfam family: Bacterial small subunit ribosomal RNA
Source: RNAcentral
AGAGUUUGAUCCUGGCUCAGGAUGAACGCUAGCUACAGGCUUAACACAUGCAAGUCGAGGGGAAACGACAUCGAAAGCUUGCUUUUGAUGGGCGUCGACCGGCGCACGGGUGAGUAACGCGUAUCCAACCUGCCCACCACUUGGGGAUAACCUUGCGAAAGUAAGACUAAUACCCAAUGAUAUCUCUAGAAGACAUCUGAAAGAGAUUAAAGAUUUAUCGGUGAUGGAUGGGGAUGCGUCUGAUUAGCUUGUUGGCGGGGUAACGGCCGACCAAGGCGACGGAUCAGUAGGGGUUCUGAGAGGAAGGGUCCCCCACAUUGGAACCUGAGACACGGUCCAAACUCCUACGGGAGGCA